ACUUUGUAUUACGCGCGGGAAAUUGAUACCUUUUUCAGAAAGAGGUAUCAAUUUCCCGUGCGUAAUACAAAAU
Non-coding RNA from Paramuricea clavata, 73 nucleotides. The record is from the annotation of a GenBank genome assembly. NCBI's taxonomy places the organism in Eukaryota, Metazoa, Cnidaria, Anthozoa, Malacalcyonacea, Plexauridae.